This 253-nucleotide ribosomal RNA is filed under the name uncultured bacterium. RNAcentral describes it as "partial 16S ribosomal RNA". It matches the Rfam family "Bacterial small subunit ribosomal RNA", at positions 524 to 776 of the family's 1533-position model. The record is from RNAcentral.
UACGAAGGGGGCUAGCGUUGUUCGGAAUCACUGGGCGUAAAGCGCAUGCAGGCGGAUUGUUAAGUCGGGGGUGAAAUCCCGAGGCUCAACCUCGGAACUGCCUUCGAUACUGGCAAUCUUGAGUCCGGGAGAGGUGAGUGGGACUGCGAGUGUAGAGGUGAAAUUCGUAGAUAUUCGCAAGAACACCAGUGGCGAAGGCGGCUCACUGGCCCGGUACUGACGCUGAGGUGCGAAAGCGUGGGGAGCAAACAGG